GUGAACGCUGGCGGUAGGCCUAACACCUGCAGGUCGAACGGCAGCACAGUAAGAGCUUGCUCUUCCGGGUGGAGAGUGGCGGACUGGUGAGGAAUACAUCGGAAUCUACUUUUUCGUGGGGGAUAACGUAGGGAAACUUACGCUAAUACCGCAUACGACCUACGGGUGAAAGCAGGGGAUCUUCGGACCUUGCGCGUUUGAAUGAGCCGAUGUCGGAUUAGCUAGUUGGCGGGGUAAAGGCCCACCAAGGCGACGAUCCGUAGCUGGUCUGAGAGGAUGAUCAGCCACACUGGAACUGAGACACGGUCCAGACUCCUACGGGAGGCAGCAGUGGGGAAUAUUGGACAAUGGGCGCAAGCCUGAUCCAGCCAUACCGCGUGGGUGAAGAAGGCCUUCGGGUUGUAAAGCCCUUUUGUUGGGAAAGAAAAGCAGCAGGUUAAUACCCCGCUGUUCUGACGGUACCCAAAGAAUAAGCACCGGCUAACUUCGUG
RNAcentral lists this ribosomal RNA (491 nucleotides) under uncultured bacterium. RNAcentral describes it as "partial 16S ribosomal RNA". It matches the Rfam family "Bacterial small subunit ribosomal RNA", at positions 29 to 507 of the family's 1533-position model. The record is from RNAcentral.